GAUGAACGCUGGCGGCGUGCCUAAUACAUGCAAGUCGAGCGAACGGACGAGAAGCUUGCUUCUCUGAUGUUAGCGGCGGACGGGUGAGUAACACGUGGAUAACCUACUUAUAAGACUGGGAUAACUUCGGGAAAGCGGAGCUAAUCCGGGAUAAUAUUUUGAACCGCAUGGUUCAAAAGUGAAAGACGGUCUUGCUGGCAGGUAUAGAUGGAUCCGCGCUGCAUUAGCUAGUUGGGAAGGUAACGGCUUACCACGGCAACGAUGCAUAGCCGAGCUGAGAGGGUGGUAGGCCACCUUGGAGCUGAGACAGGCACAUGACUCCUGAGGGAGGCAGCAGUCUGCAAUCUUCCGCAAUGGGCGAGAGCCUGACGGAGCAAGCCCGCGUGAGUGAUGACGGUCUUCCGAUCGUAAAACCCUCUUAUGAGGGAUGAACAUAUGUGUAAGUAAAUGAGCACAUCUUGACGGUACCUAAUCAGAAAGCCACGGCUAACUACGUG
This 497-nucleotide ribosomal RNA is filed under the name uncultured bacterium. RNAcentral's name for it is "partial 16S ribosomal RNA". It matches the Rfam family "Bacterial small subunit ribosomal RNA", at positions 28 to 507 of the family's 1533-position model. The record is from RNAcentral.